This 82-nucleotide ribosomal RNA is filed under the name Staphylococcus aureus. RNAcentral's name for it is "partial 23S ribosomal RNA". Lineage: Bacteria; Bacillati; Bacillota; Bacilli; Caryophanales; Staphylococcaceae. The record is from RNAcentral.
GAUGAGGUUAAUAGGUUCGAGGUGGAAGCAUGGUGACAUGUGGAGCUGACGAAUACUAAUCGAUCGAAGACUUAAUCAAAUU